UACAGAGGUGGCGAGCGUUGUUCGGAAUUACUGGGCGUAAAGGGCGCGUAGGCGGCCUGUUAAGUCGAACGUGAAAUCCCCGGGCUCAACCCGGGAACUGCGUCCGAUACUGGCAGGCUUGAAUCCGGGAGAGGGAUGCGGAAUUCCAGGUGUAGCGGUGAAAUGCGUAGAUAUCUGGAGGAACACCGGUGGCGAAGGCGGCAUCCUGGACCGGCAUUGACGCUGAGGCGCGAAAGCCAGGGGAGCAAACGGG
RNAcentral lists this ribosomal RNA (253 nucleotides) under uncultured bacterium. RNAcentral describes it as "partial 16S ribosomal RNA". It matches the Rfam family "Bacterial small subunit ribosomal RNA", at positions 524 to 776 of the family's 1533-position model. The record is from RNAcentral.